UGGGAUGGAAGAAAAAAAAAAAAAAAAACACACACUUGCUUUAAACACAGAGCAGUCAAUAAGCCAUCUUCUGAGUUAGUUUAGAACAGUGGCUAUUCGAAGCCUUUGCUUUAAUUUGUCCCUUUUCUCUCAGCUUGUCUCCUUCGGCAGGAAGCAACAUAAAUCCACGUCAGGCUUUGUACAUGGUGUGUGGAGCGGUGGCGCCCAGUCUGGUGAGUGACGUGGGUGUCAAUGGAAGAUCCCUGCUAAUCUCCUCGGUAAAUAUUGCACUUUAACAUUUUUCUUGUAAAAUAAUUAUUCAUGAUGUGUCAUUAACAAGCAGUACCGCCACCACCAGGACUGGAGGGGAACAGCAUUGCUUGGCAUGUUUUCUAGCAGAGGGGGACGGCUUGGAACGGAUCUCCGGAGACGCUGCGGGCGAAACUCACCUAGUAUACACAUUCGUGCCCAUGGACAGAAAGACAGCUGCUGUCCUGGUCGAGAAAUUGACGGAAAUGAGCCACGGAUGGGUAAACGCACACCCACGCACUCACCGCCCCCCCAAAAAAAUUUGAUCAAGUCAUCAAUAUGCAAACUAACUAAUUCAACACGGCUGUCCACCGGAGCCUCGCUGAUAUAUAAAUACAAAUGUCAGCCUCAAUAUCAUUUACCAUCUGACUGCGCAUUGAAAAGCUAUUUACAAUCCAAAUCAAUGAAAUUUGAGAGUGUCAUUCACAGCACAUAAGAGUUCAUUAGAAAAAUUGAGACAGCACGCACAAGGCUGACACAUGCUAUGUUGUUGCUUUUCAAAGUCUGGAAUUGGAUUGGAAAAAUAUUUCCAUUGAGAUGGACACCACGCAUCAUCAUCGACAGGUGUGUAAAUGUCACCGUAAAUAUAAACACAAUUUAGAUGUGGGAAUCGAACUGCCUGUCCCAAUGGAAAUUUUUGAAUUUUUGACUGAAAAUAAUUGAUUGUCAUGAGAAAAUGAGCUGUGUAACAUAUUGUCUUCAGAUUUUCAUUUAAUACUAAAAUGAUCUGCACAUU
Molecule: long non-coding RNA, 1024 nt
Organism: Syngnathus acus (greater pipefish)
Lineage: Eukaryota; Metazoa; Chordata; Actinopteri; Syngnathiformes; Syngnathidae
Exons: 3
Source: RefSeq, a predicted model, not a curated record